Molecule: transfer RNA, 773 nt
Filed under: uncultured Synechococcus sp.
Lineage: Bacteria; Bacillati; Cyanobacteriota; Cyanophyceae; Synechococcales; Synechococcaceae
Description: 16S-23S ribosomal RNA intergenic spacer
Rfam family: tRNA (bases 267-339)
Source: RNAcentral
AGGGAGACAACACAAUGAUUUUGAUGCCUGAGUACUUUUAUUCUUAGGCCGAAAUCCUGUCACCUUAGGUCGAUCGGUACCUCAGCUUUGAAGUCAAGGAUCAACAGCAAUGUUGAUUGCUUGAUGGAGAUUUUCAGUUCCUAAACUUUGUCUAGGUCACACCCCAAAAGGGAUGAGACUCCUGGGCCAUUAGCUCAGGUGGUUAGAGCGCACCCCUGAUAAGGGUGAGGUCCCUGGUUCAAGUCCAGGAUGGCCCAUUCGGUGUUGGGGGUUUAGCUCAGUUGGUAGAGCGCCUGCUUUGCAAGCAGGAUGUCAGGAGUUCGAGUCUCCUAACCUCCACUGACCGAACUUGAUUCCCAUCUCCAAUUUUUUGGAGUUGAGCUCGAUUGGAGUGUGAUUUAGAUGUGUCCGCUGGAUGACCCCAGCUUCCUGUCAUUCCAAGUUUUAGGUUGAUGCCUUGAAUUUGGUUGAUAAGAUGCUGGGCUCGAAUCAAAUGAUCAAGCAAUUGAUGAUUUGAUUUGAAGUUCUAGCAGAACCUUGACAACUGCAUAGGUAAGUCUGGAAAAAACAAAGCAUCUUACAGAUGCAUUGUUUUGAAUCUGAUCUUCUGAAAGGGAGAUUAGAUCUAGAACAAUGAAAAUUCUUUUGAGCAAGAGCCGAGACUCUUGAACGUUCUUUGAUUGGUGUCGAGCCAAUCAGAGUUUGAUCUUGUUUUUAGCAAUAAAAACUUGAGAAUCUGCUUUCAACGGCGGUAAGCGUUCAGGAGGUUAAUU